CAAACUUGACACCAUCCACUGUGUCUUUCUCCAAUCUCACAUAUCUUAGUGUAAAGGAUUGCGGUAAAUUGAAAUACUUGUUCACGUCCUCAACGGCCAAAACAUUAGGUGUAUUGGAGCAUAUGAUCGUUUCCAACUGUGAAUCAAUAGAAGAAAUAGUGGCUAAGGAUUAUGAAGACGAAAAUGAAGGUUCGAUCAUAUUCGAGCAGCUUGAGGUUUUGGAAUUGAGCUCGUUGCCAAAACUUCAAUGCUUCUACUCUGGGUCUUCCACUUUGAAUUUCCCAUCCUUGAAUAACGUUUAUUUCAACCAAGUAUCCAACGGCAUGAACUUUUUCCGUCAAGGUUAUAUCUUACCAAACAAACUAGUGUGGUACACUAAAUGAACGCCAAGUCAAAUAGACGGUGUCAGCCUGUCAGGAAAGUGUUGUCGGGUGGGAAAAGCUUAUUGUCAUUGCCUUUUAUCAUGCAAGCUUGUUGUCUUGUUUUUCAAGCAGCAGUGGAGCAGAAAUCAUGGAAUGUUGGUUCAGUGGGACUUGAAGGAUGCAAUUAGAUGAUAAGUGGAUAACAUCAUGGCAACAACCAUUGGCAAAUUGAGGGCUUUUCUUUUCAUUAAUAAAGUUUACCUGUAUGCCCACAGGAACUUUGUGUUGUUUAGUGUUUCAUGGAUAGGUUGAUCUAUAUUUUCUACAAGUGUUAUGUAUUGUUUUUAAGUUAUGGUGCACGUGUUUCAUGAAUAAGUUGA
Long non-coding RNA from Gastrolobium bilobum, 742 nucleotides. RefSeq lists it as uncharacterized. The transcript has 3 exons. Lineage: Eukaryota; Viridiplantae; Streptophyta; Magnoliopsida; Fabales; Fabaceae. The record is from RefSeq and is a predicted model, not a curated record.